CUCACUCUCGCUUGCUCCCCGAUAAAAGAGGUUUACAACCCGAAGGCCUCCAUCCCUCACGCGGCGUCGCUGCAUCAGGCUUGCGCCCAUUGUGCAAUAUUCCCCACUGCUGCCUCCCGUAGGAGU
Molecule: ribosomal RNA, 126 nt
Filed under: uncultured Bifidobacterium sp.
Lineage: Bacteria; Bacillati; Actinomycetota; Actinomycetes; Bifidobacteriales; Bifidobacteriaceae
Description: partial 16S ribosomal RNA
Source: RNAcentral